ACUUAAAUAGCUUAUUAUUAGAGUAUAACAUUGAAGCUGUUAGGGAGAUAUAUUGUCUUUAAGUA
RNAcentral lists this transfer RNA (65 nucleotides) under Acheta domesticus (house cricket). Its description in RNAcentral is "tRNA-Phe". Lineage: Eukaryota; Metazoa; Arthropoda; Insecta; Orthoptera; Gryllidae. The record is from RNAcentral. RNAcentral also lists the same sequence under 1 other name.